This 1492-nucleotide ribosomal RNA is filed under the name uncultured Clostridium sp. Its description in RNAcentral is "bacterial SSU rRNA". It matches the Rfam family "Bacterial small subunit ribosomal RNA". Lineage: Bacteria; Bacillati; Bacillota; Clostridia; Eubacteriales; Clostridiaceae. The record is from RNAcentral.
AGAGUUUGAUCCUGGCUCAGGAUGAACGCUGGCGGCGUGCUUAACACAUGCAAGUCGAACGAAGAAGGUUAGAAUGAGAGCUUCGGCAGGAUUUCUUUCCAUCUUAGUGGCGGACGGGUGAGUAACGUGUGGGCAACCUGCCCUGUACUGGGGAAUAAUCAUUGGAAACGAUGACUAAUACCGCAUGUGGUCCUCGGAGGGCAUCUUCUGAGGAAGAAAGGAUUUAUUCGGUACAGGAUGGGCCCGCAUCUGAUUAGCUAGUUGGUGAGAUAACAGCCCACCAAGGCGACGAUCAGUAGCCGACCUGAGAGGGUGAUCGGCCACAUUGGGACUGAGACACGGCCCAAACUCCUACGGGAGGCAGCAGUGGGGAAUAUUGCACAAUGGGCGAAAGCCUGAUGCAGCAACGCCGCGUGAAGGAUGAAGGGUUUCGGCUCGUAAACUUCUAUCAAUAGGGAAGAAACAAAUGACGGUACCUAAAUAAGAAGCCCCGGCUAACUACGUGCCAGCAGCCGCGGUAAUACGUAGGGGGCAAGCGUUAUCCGGAAUUACUGGGUGUAAAGGGAGCGUAGGCGGCAUGGUAAGCCAGAUGUGAAAGCCUUGGGCUUAACCCGAGGAUUGCAUUUGGAACUAUCAAGCUAGAGUACAGGAGAGGAAAGCGGAAUUCCUAGUGUAGCGGUGAAAUGCGUAGAUAUUAGGAAGAACACCAGUGGCGAAGGCGGCUUUCUGGACUGAAACUGACGCUGAGGCUCGAAAAGCGUGGGGAGCAAACAGGAUUAGAUACCCUGGUAGUCCACGCCGUAAACGAUGAGUGCUAGGUGUCGGGGAGGAAUCCUCGGUGCCGCAGCUAACGCAAUAAGCACUCCACCUGGGGAGUACGACCGCAAGGUUGAAACUCAAAGGAAUUGACGGGGGCCCGCACAAGCGGUGGAGCAUGUGGUUUAAUUCGAAGCAACGCGAAGAACCUUACCAAGGCUUGACAUCCCGAUGACCGUCCUGGAGAUAGGACUUCUCUUCGGAGCAUCGGUGACAGGUGGUGCAUGGUUGUCGUCAGCUCGUGUCGUGAGAUGUUGGGUUAAGUCCCGCAACGAGCGCAACCCUUAUCUUCAGUAGCCAUCAUUCAGUUGGGCACUCUGGAGAGACUGCCGUGGAUAACACGGAGGAAGGUGGGGAUGACGUCAAAUCAUCAUGCCCCUUAUGUCUUGGGCUACACACGUGCUACAAUGGCUGGUAACAAAGUGACGCAAGACGGUGACGUUAAGCAAAUCACAAAAACCCAGUCCCAGUUCGGAUUGUAGUCUGCAACUCGACUACAUGAAGCUGGAAUCGCUAGUAAUCGCGAAUCAGCAUGUCGCGGUGAAUACGUUCCCGGGCCUUGUACACACCGCCCGUCACACCAUGGGAGUUGGAAGCACCCGAAGUCGGUGACCUAACCGUAAGGAAGGAGCCGCCGAAGGUGAAGCCAGUGACUGGGGUGAAGUCGUAACAAGGU